This 497-nucleotide ribosomal RNA is filed under the name uncultured bacterium. Its description in RNAcentral is "partial 16S ribosomal RNA". It matches the Rfam family "Bacterial small subunit ribosomal RNA", at positions 28 to 507 of the family's 1533-position model. The record is from RNAcentral.
GAUGAACGCUGGCGGCGUGCCUAAUACAUGCAAGUCGAGCGAACAGACGAGGAGCUUGCUCCUCUGACGUUAGCGGCGGACGGGUGAGUAACACGUGGAUAACCUACCUAUAAGACUGGGAUAACUUCGGGAAACCGGAGCUAAUACCGGAUAAUAUAUUGAACCGCAUGGUUCAAUAGUGAAAGACGGUUUUGCUGUCACUUAUAGAUGGAUCCGCGCCGCAUUAGCUAGUUGGUAAGGUAACGGCUUACCAAGGCGACGAUGCGUAGCCGACCUGUGAGGCUGAUCGGCCACACUGGAGCUGAGACACGGACCAGGCUCCUACGGGAGGCAGCAGUAGGCAAUCUUCCGCAAUGGGCGAAAGCCUGACAGAACAACGCCGCGUGAGUGAUGAAGGUCUUCGGAUCGUAAAGCUCUGUUAUUAGGGAAGAACAAAUGUGUAAGUAACUAUGCACGUCUUGACGGUACCUAAUCAGAAAGCCACGGCUAACUACGUG